CUGAUGCAGCGACGCCGCGUGGGGGAUGACGGCCUUCGGGUUGUAAACUCCUUUCGACAGGGACGAAGCGCAAGUGACGGUACCUGUAUAAGAAGCACCGGCUAACUACGUGCCAGCAGCCGCGGUAAUACGUAGGGUGCGAGCGUUGUCCGGAAUUACUGGGCGUAAAGAGCUCGUAGGUGGUUUGUCGCGUCGUCUGUGAAAUUCCGGGGCUUAACUCCGGGCGUGCAGGCGAUACGGGCAUAACUUGAGUGCUGUAGGGGAGACUGGAAUUCCUGGUGUAGCGGUGAAAUGCGCAGAUAUCAGGAGGAACACCGAUGGCGAAGGCAGGUCUCUGGGCAGUUACUGACGCUGAGGAGCGAAAGCAUGGGUAGCGAACA
Molecule: ribosomal RNA, 380 nt
Filed under: Corynebacterium minutissimum
Lineage: Bacteria; Bacillati; Actinomycetota; Actinomycetes; Mycobacteriales; Corynebacteriaceae
Description: bacterial SSU rRNA
Rfam family: Bacterial small subunit ribosomal RNA
Source: RNAcentral